GAUGAACGCUGGCGGCGUGCCUAAUACAUGCAAGUCGAGCGAACAGACGAGGAGCUUGCUCCUCUGACGUUAGCGACGGACGGGUGAGUAACACGUGGAUAACCUACCUAUAAGACUGGGAUAACUUCGGGAAACCGGAGCUAAUACCGGAUAAUAUAUUGAACCGCAUGGUUCAAUAGUGAAAGGCGGUUUUGCUGUCAAUUAUAGAUGGAUCCGCUCCGCAUUAGCUAGUUGGUAAGGUAACGGCUUACCAAGGCAACGAUGCGUAGCCGACCUGAGAGGGUGAGCGGCCACAAUGGAACUGAGACACGGACCAGACUCGUACGAGAGGCAGCAGUAGGGCAGCUUGCGCAAUGGGCGAAAGCCGGACGGAGCGACGACGCGUGAGUGAUGAAGGUCUUCGGAUCGUAAAACUCUGUUAUUAGGGAAGACCAAAUGUGUAAGUAACUAUGCACGUCUUGACGGUACCUGAUCAGAAAGCCACGGCUAAUUACGU
This 496-nucleotide ribosomal RNA is filed under the name uncultured bacterium. RNAcentral's name for it is "partial 16S ribosomal RNA". It matches the Rfam family "Bacterial small subunit ribosomal RNA", at positions 28 to 506 of the family's 1533-position model. The record is from RNAcentral.